UACGGAGGAUCCGAGCGUUAUCCGGAUUUAUUGGGUUUAAAGGGUGCGUAGGUGGUUGUAUAAGUUAUAGGUGAAAGCUUGACGCUUAACGUCGAAAUAGCCUGUAAUACUGUAUAGCUAGAGACCAGUUGCAGAAGGCGGAAUGUGUGGUGUAGCGGUGAAAUGCUUAGAUAUCACACAGAACACCGAUUGCGAAGGCAGCUUUCUAAGCUGGUUCUGACACUGAUGCACGAAAGCGUGGGGAUCAAACAGG
This 253-nucleotide ribosomal RNA is filed under the name uncultured bacterium. RNAcentral's name for it is "partial 16S ribosomal RNA". It matches the Rfam family "Bacterial small subunit ribosomal RNA", at positions 524 to 776 of the family's 1533-position model. The record is from RNAcentral.